This 98-nucleotide microRNA precursor is filed under the name Marmota monax (woodchuck). Lineage: Eukaryota; Metazoa; Chordata; Mammalia; Rodentia; Sciuridae. The record is from RNAcentral.
ACUGGAAUUGCUGAGUCAUAUGGUAAUUGCAUGUUUUUAACUUUUUGAGGAACUGCCAGACUGUUUUCCAAAGUGACUCUGCCACUUACACAAGCAGU